Nothobranchius furzeri (turquoise killifish) is the source of this 4143-nucleotide non-coding RNA. NCBI's taxonomy places the organism in Eukaryota, Metazoa, Chordata, Actinopteri, Cyprinodontiformes, Nothobranchiidae. The record is from RefSeq and is a predicted model, not a curated record.
CAGUCCCCCAAGUAGUAACAGGUGGCCACUUUCAGGUGGUUUGACAGGACAAGGAAUGUUUGUGAUUGCAGGCUUUUGUAGUUCAUCCACUUCUUGACCUGAAUUUCUCUCUCUUUUAAAAACUGGUGCCAUGGCUAUAACAAGCUCAACAAGUUAGAGAAAGAAAAAGUUAAAGACCAAGUUCACUGAGAAUCUGUUUUUAUUUGUUAUUUUUUAAAUAUGAGCAGUCACUCUGAGUUUAGCAUGCAGGCUAAAGUGAAAAUAAUUCUCAACCCCUAUUUCCUGCAUUAGCCGCGAUAAAGCACAGACGGGGAAACUCUCGGAUUAGAAAAACCAGUCACAUCUACCUCACAUUCAAAAUUCACAUUCAUGGACUCGCCCAUCUUUUCUUGCAACAGGGCAGAGCUGUAGAAAGAGAGAGUUGUGACACUCCAAUAGACUUCUAUGGAAAAACUGGAAUGCGGGAGUCACGUGGUUCAUGUAGCUUCGAAUAGUUCCAAACAGCCCCCACUGCUGCAUUGACCGCAGUUCAUUUUCGGUGUUUCGGAAGGAUUUUCUCCGGUAAGUUGAUGAAAUGUCAUCAUUUUCUUGCAUUGUGAAGCGUUAGCUAACCGCUUCGUACCAAAAUAAGCCAAGGAUGAUAUUUUAUGUUGCCAGUUUUAGCUAGAUAACCUUUAAUGAGCUAAUUGUGUGCAGCUUGUUGAUUGUAAGCAGGAGGGUUUAGACAAGCUUGUCGAGCUGUAGAUUGAUUUAUUUCAGUUUGUUUGAUUCUACGUUUUAAAAAUAUUCCCCACAGUUUGAAAAAGGUUAUAAACUUUUUACAUUAUUAGUUUAAUUUGGGAAUUUUUGUACAAUAAUUUGUAUCAACACGAACAUGCAUCAGAAAUGGAAGCACAAAUGGAGAGACCAAUAAUAAAGAAAAUGUGAUUGUGAAGAAAAGUAAUUAUUUAAUAUUUUUCAGUUAAUAACGCUGACUGCAACAAACUGCUGAAGCAUGAGACAAACAGGAUAACGAACGUAAGAUAUGUUGUUCUGUUUUGUGUACUCAAGUAAUGAGAAUAAAAUAAAGAUAUUUCAAGAAUAGUAGUCAAUUAACUUUUAAAAAUGAGACAUUUUCCAUAAAACUGCUCAUUUCCACUUGCUUUAUAAUAUUAGCAUUUGCAAUUUUGUUAUUAAGGAAUGACAAGAAAUAAGAAUUAACAAUAACACAAUUGUCAAUAAAUAAAUGUCAAAGAGUUACUAAAACAAAGAUCUUAUGUAACCAUUAAAGGUUAAACUGUGUUGUGUGUCCAUCUUCAUGUUUUCAUAGUGGCUGAGCGGAGAGCUGACCAGGAACAACGCUGGUGGCAAAACCCAGUUGGGUCUGUGAUGGAGUGAUGCACGCCUGGAGUGAUUGCCAUCUCAUCCACAGGUUCUAACACCAGGCAGAGGGAUACUCGUGUCCUGAAGAAACCUGUAGCCUGUUGAACCCACUGAAAAACAGAGUUGUUUUCCAGCUGGGUUCCCUGGUUGCAUCGCCUGUUCCUUUCUCCUCCUGGCUGUGACGAACCUUGUCCCCUCAGUCCAUCUUCUCAUCUCUACCUGAGCCUGUUGUACCCACUGCCAAGGAUUCAGCAACAGGGACAGCGCCAGAAACGGCUUGCUCACUCUCUCCAGCGCCCCAGCACCAGUUCAGGACCUCGGAGAGAGGCACGCCAGAGAAGACCGCAGCUGAUCUGAAUCAGCGAUGAAGCAGCUCCCAGGACUUAAAAGAGGAGCGAAGCAGACAGUCAGGAGAUCCAGAAUUAGUCUGUUAUUCUCCCGAGUUCAUUGACACUUCUUGCUAAGGCUAAAUCUUUCCUGUAUCAUUUCUGGUUGUUUCUGCGGAGAUCCAGAAAUAGUCUGAAUUUCUCCUGAGCUCUGUUUACACUCACUGCUACAGCUAACUUUUAAGGCAUUUGCUAAGGGUUUGUCAAUAGGGAUUUGGCUUAAUUAUCCUCAUUAGAAGGAUUUAUCUGACAGAACGUCAGUUUAUUUAGGUUGGUGGCUUUUUUCCCCAUUGGACUUUUGAGCCAGGUAUAUUUUCAGUUAGGUGGUUGUGAUUUACGUUUGGCAGAAAGCCAUUUUCUUAAGCCGUUAUUGCUUAUGUUUUCAGUUUCCACCUUUGUUUAAUCACCAUUAUCAUUCAGCCCUAUUUUGACGUUCAGACACGGACACCCCUUUGUUAAUAAAUCCUUUUGGUUUUACGCUCACCACCUCGUUAUUUAUCCACACACACUCUCGUACACCUAUGUUCCUGUGUUAGUCCCCUCAUCCUCCUAGACCUUCAGGAAGGGGCAUAACACUGGCCCUGAUUCCGGCUCCUCAUGGCUUCCUGGGAUGUCCCUCUCUCCUGAUACCAUCUCAUGUCCCCCCACACUUUCCCUCAUCUCAUUUGCCUCACUGCUGCUGCUGCUUUCCUUAUUCUCUGUAUUUAUAAUGGCACUGUUAGAAUAAAGAAUAAUUUUAAAAUAAAAUAAAUAAAAAUGUCUUAAUAUUUCAAAAGAUUCAUACCACAGUUUACUUGAGUACAAUAUGUGUGGUCACUGGUCAGUGGAUCAACAUGCAGUGGUUCUGCUGUACUUCUCACUGCGGGGUCCCUCCUCCUCCUUGGUUCAGGGCGAUGAACAAACACAGCAUCAGCCCUGAGUCUCACCUUGCCUUGCCUAGUCUUAGUAAACUGUCCCUCCUCAAAAUGUGCCUGUAGAGUGGUGUAUUAGUUUAUUUCCUGCCACAUUUAACAGUUUAAUUGCAGCCUUGUGCAGUUGAGAGCAGAACAUGUAGAGCCUUGAUAGAAAACAUUUGAGAGUGCACGUUAAACUCACUGCACACAGCUUUUUGUUAUUGUGAUCUCUGUUCAUGGUGAGGUUGCUCCUGCUGACUGGAGCCAACCAUUUUCUUCUUCUCUCUGCGUCUUUGGGGAAGCCGUAAUUCUGAUUCCUCCCUCAGAACGAUUGCUAUAUGCAGCGCAGCCAAUCAUGUAAGAUAAUCAACCUAGAAAGGGAUUGUUAAAAUACUAUUUUUGUACAUAUAGAAAUAUUGAACUAAACAAAAAAUAUAGAGAUGUAAAAUUACAUUUUAAAUUUUUAUCCAACCCUAAAAUUUGUCAUUUCAAAAUUUAACCCACAGACACAUUUUAUUUUAAUAAUACUCAAAAUAAAGUUAUUCAAAAGAGUUUCAUUAGGUCUUGAGUACAUUUCUCAUAAUUAAUGAUUCAGCUUAUUUGUGCAUAUGUAAUGACUAAACAUAAUGUUGGUAAAAUGCUUUAUUAAAAUGCUAUUAUACAUGUUGUACAAGUUUCGUGUUCAUUUUUUUCAUCAUUAACACUUAUUUAUCUACUGUGAUGAACCGUACAGUUUUACUGAAAAUAUCUUUUUAAUUAGUUGCUAUAGACGCCAGAUAAACUGGGUUAUAGAUGCAUGUACUGUAUUCGCAUAAAAAUAUAAAGUAAUGACUGUAAAAUGUAUUCUGCUGAACAUAAUAGAUCAUCAUUCAAAGCACAAACAGCUACAUAUUUUCUUCAAGGUAAGCUGGAGCAGAAUUCUAGCUUUUAAUAAACCACUUUUGAAUUUUGAAUUGAGUUUAGGGCUUCUUGUAGGACUUAAAGUUAUUAAAUAUGCUUAUAUUAAAGCAGUGUGUUGUAUUACUACGACAAAUUUAUUGCUAUAACAUAUUGUAGUGUAUCUGAAUAUCAGGAAUUAAGACUCCAAAAGCCUGAAGCUCAACUCCUGCAGAAGUUUUUUUCCUCACAGAGAUCAACUCACAGGACAUUCAUUUAUUCCAGAGAGCACACAAUUGUGUUGUAGAAACAAGUGAACUUGGUCUUUAAAGAAGCACGGGUAUUAUAGUAUUAAUGAUAGCAACUAUUAUUCUUUGUUUGAAUUCUGCAGCAGUCACGGUAAACACUGCCUUUGUUUUAUUCACAUUUCCUCCACCUAACAUCUGCUUUGCCCUAAACCAGGCUGUUGAAUACCAUCACAUGCAAAUAUUAUCUAAAUAUCACCCAUGUAAAUUAUCUGUAUGGUACAACCAUAGACCUGCAAGAAAAUAAUUAAAAUUUUGUGCUCAACAGAAACAAGGACAGCAAUGUGCAUUACCUAAAUGUCAAGUAAUUCAUAACUGCAU